CCUAACACAUGCAAGUCGAGCGAGGUAGCAAUACCUAGCGGCAGACGGGUGCGUAACAUGUGGGAAUCUGACCUUUUUGGUUCGGAACAACACGGGGAAAACCUGUGCUAAUACCGGAUAAGUCCUUACGGAGAAAGUUUUAAUGCCAAAAGAUGAGCCCGCAUUUGAUUAGCUAGUUGGUGAGGUUAAAAGCUACACCCAAGGCGAUAAUCAAUAGCUGAUUUGAGAGGAUGAUCAGCCACACUGGGACUGAGAUACGGCCCAGACUCC
This 270-nucleotide ribosomal RNA is filed under the name unidentified marine bacterioplankton. Its description in RNAcentral is "partial 16S ribosomal RNA". It matches the Rfam family "Bacterial small subunit ribosomal RNA", at positions 47 to 339 of the family's 1533-position model. The record is from RNAcentral.